CUUAUACUCCCACGGUCCCCAAAUUCUUUUCUUCGAUUUUUCUAAAUGCAAAUGUAUCUAGUUACAUUUCAGUGUUAGAUACAUCCGUAUCUAGACAAAUGUAAGACAAGAAUUUUGGGACGGAGGGAGUAUUUA
Molecule: non-coding RNA, 135 nt
Organism: Triticum aestivum (bread wheat)
Lineage: Eukaryota; Viridiplantae; Streptophyta; Magnoliopsida; Poales; Poaceae
Source: Rfam